Schistosoma rodhaini is the source of this 44-nucleotide non-coding RNA. The record is from Rfam. Lineage: Eukaryota; Metazoa; Platyhelminthes; Trematoda; Strigeidida; Schistosomatidae.
ACACUGGAGGAGUCCCAUAAUAGGACGAAACGGCCGUCCAGUGU